GCGAGGGUAGCCAAGUGGCCAAAGGCGGGUGACUCAAGAUCAUCUCUCGCAGGAGUUCGCGGGUUCGAAUCCCUCCCCUCGCA
Molecule: transfer RNA, 83 nt
Filed under: Methanomicrobiales archaeon
Lineage: Archaea; Methanobacteriati; Methanobacteriota; Methanomicrobia; Methanomicrobiales
Description: tRNA-Leu
Rfam family: tRNA
About the family: Transfer RNA (tRNA) molecules are approximately 80 nucleotides in length. Their secondary structure includes four short double-helical elements and three loops (D, anti-codon, and T loops). Further hydrogen bonds mediate the characteristic L-shaped molecular structure. tRNAs have two regions of fundamental functional importance: the anti-codon, which is responsible for specific mRNA codon recognition, and the 3' end, to which the tRNAs corresponding amino acid is attached (by aminoacyl-tRNA synthetases). tRNAs cope with the degeneracy of the genetic code in two manners: having more than one tRNA (with a specific anti-codon) for a particular amino acid; and 'wobble' base-pairing, i.e. permitting non-standard base-pairing at the 3rd anti-codon position.
Source: RNAcentral